AUAUCUUUCUCGGCCUUUUGGCUAAGAUCAAGUGUAGUAUCUGUUCUUAUCAGUUUAAUAUCUGAUACGUGGCCCAUCUCAAUAGCUUGCUAUUGGGGCUUUUAUGCGUCGCCCAUGCGUUGCACUACCGCACGGGCCUGGCGCACUCCUA
Molecule: small nuclear RNA, 151 nt
Filed under: Nelumbo nucifera (sacred lotus)
Lineage: Eukaryota; Viridiplantae; Streptophyta; Magnoliopsida; Proteales; Nelumbonaceae
Description: U2 spliceosomal RNA
Rfam family: U2 spliceosomal RNA
About the family: U2 is a small nuclear RNA (snRNA) component of the spliceosome (involved in pre-mRNA splicing). Complementary binding between U2 snRNA (in an area lying towards the 5' end but 3' to hairpin I) and the branchpoint sequence (BPS) of the intron results the bulging out of an unpaired adenosine, on the BPS, which initiates a nucleophilic attack at the intronic 5' splice site, thus starting the first of two transesterification reactions that mediate splicing.
Source: Rfam by way of RNAcentral